RNAcentral lists this ribosomal RNA (292 nucleotides) under uncultured Verrucomicrobiota bacterium. RNAcentral's name for it is "uncultured Verrucomicrobia bacterium partial 16S ribosomal RNA". Lineage: Bacteria; Pseudomonadati; Verrucomicrobiota. The record is from RNAcentral.
GGACUACAGGGGUAUCUAAUCCCGUUUGCUCCCCUAGCCUUCGUGCCUCAGCGUCAGACGCUGUCCAGAGCUUCGCUUUCGCUGCGAGCGUUCUUCUCGAAAUCUACGCAUUUCACUGCUACACCGAGAAUUCCAAGCUCCUCUCCAGGUCUCUAGCGAAGCAGUAUCAGGUGCUAGUUGAGGGUUGAGCCCUCAAAUUUCACACCCGACUUACUCCGCAGCCUACGCACCCUUUACGCCCAGUGAUUCCGAACAACGCUUGAGACCUCUGUAUUACCGCGGCUGCUGGCAC